GCAAGCAUGGUAUAAUGGUUAGAGAGUUGAACUAGAAUUCCAGAAGACCAGGGUUCAAAUCCCCGUUUAGCC
Molecule: non-coding RNA, 72 nt
Organism: Phrynosoma platyrhinos (Desert horned lizard)
Lineage: Eukaryota; Metazoa; Chordata; Lepidosauria; Squamata; Phrynosomatidae
Source: the annotation of a GenBank genome assembly